RNAcentral lists this ribosomal RNA (483 nucleotides) under uncultured archaeon. RNAcentral's name for it is "bacterial SSU rRNA". It matches the Rfam family "Archaeal small subunit ribosomal RNA", at positions 375 to 858 of the family's 1478-position model. The record is from RNAcentral.
GGGAUCCKRAGUGCUCAUACUUUGCAUGGGCUUUUGCCAAGAGUAAAUACUUUGGCGAAUAAGUGGUGGGGAAAGACUGGUGCCAGCCGCCGCGGUAACACCAGCGCCACGAGUGGCAAACCAKGUUUAUUGGGCCUAAAGCGUCCGUAGCCGGUUARGUAAAUCUUUUGUGAAAUCGUCAGGCUUAACUUGACGUCGUGCAGAAGACACUGCUAAACUUGAGACCGGGAGGAGUCAGAGGUAUUCCAGGGGGAGCGGUAAAAUGUUAUAAUCCCUGGAGGAUUACCUGUGGCGAAGGCUUCUGACCAGAACGGAUCUGACGGUGAGGGACGAAAGCCAGGGGAGCGAUCCGGAUUAGAUACCCGAGUAGUCCUGGCCGUAAACGCUGCGAGCUAGGUGUUGCAUAUCUUAMGAGAAUGUGCAAUSUCGAAGCGAAGUSUUAAGCUCACCGCCUGGAAGCACGUUCGCAAGAUUUGAAACUUU